Molecule: ribosomal RNA, 462 nt
Filed under: uncultured bacterium
Lineage: Bacteria
Description: SSU rRNA
Rfam family: Bacterial small subunit ribosomal RNA
Source: RNAcentral
AGGACUAACGCUGGCGGCGUGCCUAACACAUGCAAGUCGAACGAAGUAGCAAUACUUAGUGGCAGACGGGUGAGUAACACGUAGUCAACCUGCCCUUCAAUGGGGGAUAACUAGCCGAAAGGUUAGCUAAUACCGCAUACGAUCUCUGAGUGGCAUCACUCGGCGAUGAAAGGAGUAAUCCGUUGAAGGAGGGGACUGCGUCCCAUUAGUUAGUUGGUGGGUAAUGGCCUACCAAGACUCCGAUGGGUAGCUGGCUUGAGAGAGCGACCAGCCACACUGGAACUGAGACACGGUCCAGACUCCUACGGAGGCAGCAGUGAGGAAUUUUCCGCAAUGGGGGAAACCCUGACGGAGCGACGCCGCGUGUGGGAAGAAGGCCUUGGGUCGUAAACCACUGUCGAGGGGACGAUAUUGACGGUACCCCUGGAGGAAGCCCCGGCUAACGUACGUGCCAGCAGCCGC